This 69-nucleotide transfer RNA is filed under the name Ictidomys tridecemlineatus (thirteen-lined ground squirrel). RNAcentral describes it as "Spermophilus tridecemlineatus (thirteen-lined ground squirrel) tRNA". It matches the Rfam family "tRNA". From Rfam's summary of the family: Transfer RNA (tRNA) molecules are approximately 80 nucleotides in length. Their secondary structure includes four short double-helical elements and three loops (D, anti-codon, and T loops). Further hydrogen bonds mediate the characteristic L-shaped molecular structure. tRNAs have two regions of fundamental functional importance: the anti-codon, which is responsible for specific mRNA codon recognition, and the 3' end, to which the tRNAs corresponding amino acid is attached (by aminoacyl-tRNA synthetases). tRNAs cope with the degeneracy of the genetic code in two manners: having more than one tRNA (with a specific anti-codon) for a particular amino acid; and 'wobble' base-pairing, i.e. permitting non-standard base-pairing at the 3rd anti-codon position. The record is from Rfam by way of RNAcentral. Lineage: Eukaryota; Metazoa; Chordata; Mammalia; Rodentia; Sciuridae.
GGGGUUGUGGUUCAGUGGUAGAGCGCUUGCCUAGCAUGCAUGAGGCACUGGGUUCAAUCCUCAGCACCA